This 824-nucleotide ribosomal RNA is filed under the name uncultured bacterium. RNAcentral's name for it is "bacterial SSU rRNA". It matches the Rfam family "Bacterial small subunit ribosomal RNA", at positions 28 to 896 of the family's 1533-position model. The record is from RNAcentral.
GAUGAACGCUGGCGGCGUGCUUAACACAUGCAAGUCGAACGGGGCUCUUCGGAGUCAAGUGGCGGACGGGUGAGUAACGCGUGAGAAUCUGCCCUAAGGUGGGGGACAACCAUUGGAAACGAUGGCUAAUACCCCAUAUGCCGAGAGGUGAAAGGUUAACUGCCUUGGGAUGAGCUCGCGUCUGAUUAGCUAGUUGGUGGGGUGAAGGCCUACCAAGGCGACGAUCAGUAGCUGGUCUGAGAGGAUGAUCAGCCACACUGGGACUGAGACACGGCCCAGACUCCCACGGGAGGCAGCAGUGGGGAAUUUUCCGCAAUGGGCGAAAGCCUGACGGAGCAACGCCGCGUGAGGGAGGAAGGUCUUUGGAUUGUAAACCUCUUUUCUCUAGGAAGAUAAUGACGGUACUAGAGGGAUCAGCAUCGGCUAACUCCGUGCCAGCAGCCGCGGUAAUACGGGGGAUGCAAGCGUUAUCCGGAAUUAUUGGGCGUAAAGCGUCCGUAGGCGGCUAGAUAAGUCUGUUGUUAAAGCGUGCAGCUCAACUGCAUACGGGCAAUGGAAACUAUUUAGCUAGAGUGUGGUAGGGGUAGAGGGAAUUCCCGGUGUAGCGGUGAAAUGCGUAGAUAUCGGGAAGAACACCAGUGGCGAAAGCGCUCUGCUGGGCCACAACUGACGCUGAUGGACGAAAGCUAGGGGAGCGAAAGGGAUUAGAUACCCCUGUAGUCCUAGCCGUAAACGAUGAACACUAGGUGUUGUCUGUAUCGACCCGGACAGUGCCGUAGCUAACGCGUUAAGUGUUCCGCCUGGGGAGUACGCACGCAAGUGUG